Molecule: ribosomal RNA, 559 nt
Filed under: Proteus mirabilis
Lineage: Bacteria; Pseudomonadati; Pseudomonadota; Gammaproteobacteria; Enterobacterales; Morganellaceae
Description: partial 23S ribosomal RNA
Rfam family: Bacterial large subunit ribosomal RNA
Source: RNAcentral
CAGUGUCAGGAGAACGGUCUGGAAAGUCCGGCAGUAAAGGGUGAUAGCCCCGUAUCUGAAGAUGCUGUUAUUGUGAACUCGACGAGUAGGGCGGGACACGUGUUAUCCUGUCUGAAUAUGGGGGGACCAUCCUCCAAGGCUAAAUACUCCUGAUUGACCGAUAGUGAACCAGUACCGUGAGGGAAAGGCGAAAAGAACCCCGGCGAGGGGAGUGAAAAAGAACCUGAAACCGUGUACGUACAAGCAGUAGGAGCCUCUUUAUGGGGUGACUGCGUACCUUUUGUAUAAUGGGUCAGCGACUUAUAUUCUGUAGCGAGGUUAACCGUAUAGGGGAGCCGUAGGGAAACCGAGUCUUAACUGGGCGAAUGAGUUGCAGGGUAUAGACCCGAAACCCGGUGAUCUAUCCAUGGGCAGGUUGAAGGUUGGGUAACACUAACUGGAGGACCGAACCGACUAAUGUUGAAAAAUUAGCGGAUGACUUGUGGAUGGGGGUGAAAGGCCAAUCAAACCGGGAGAUAGCUGGUUCUCCCCGAAAGCUAUUUAGGUAGCGCCUCGUGAA